This 515-nucleotide ribosomal RNA is filed under the name uncultured bacterium. RNAcentral describes it as "partial 16S ribosomal RNA". It matches the Rfam family "Bacterial small subunit ribosomal RNA", at positions 28 to 523 of the family's 1533-position model. The record is from RNAcentral.
GAUGAACGCUGGCGGCGUGCCUAAUACAUGCAAGUCGAGCGAAUGGAUUAAGAGCUUGCUCUUAUGAAGUUAGCGGCGGACGGGUGAGUAACACGUGGGUAACCUGCCCAUAAGACUGGGAUAACUCCGGGAAACCGGGGCUAAUACCGGAUAACAUUUUGAACCGCAUGGUUCGAAAUUGAAAGGCGGCUUCGGCUGUCACUUAUGGAUGGACCCGCGUCGCAUUAGCUAGUUGGUGAGGUAACGGCUCACCAAGGCAACGAUGCGUAGCCGACCUGAGAGAGUGAUCGGCCACACUGGGACUGAGACACGGCCCAGGCUCCUACGGGAGGCAGCAGUAGGGAAUCUUCCGCAAUGGACGAAAGUCUGACGGAGCAACGCCGCGUGAGUGACGAAGGCUUUCGGGUCGUAAAACUCUGUUGUUAGGGAAGAACAAGUGCUAGUUGAAUAAGCUGACACCUUGACGGUACCUAACCAGAAAGCCACGGCUAACUACGUGCCAGCCGCCGCGGUAA